UACGGGGGGAGCAAGCGUUGUUCGGAUUUACUGGGCGUAAAGGGCGCGUAGGCGGUCAGCACAAGUCAGUUGUGAAAUCUCCGGGCUUAACUCGGAAAGGUCAACUGAUACUGUGCGGCUAGAGUGCGGAAGGGGCAACUGGAAUUCUCGGUGUAGCGGUGAAAUGCGUAGAUAUCGAGAGGAACACCUGCGGCGAAGGCGGCCCCCUGGUUGGAUACUGACGCUGAGACGCGAAAGCGUGGGGAGCAAACAGG
Molecule: ribosomal RNA, 254 nt
Filed under: uncultured bacterium
Lineage: Bacteria
Description: partial 16S ribosomal RNA
Rfam family: Bacterial small subunit ribosomal RNA
Source: RNAcentral